RNAcentral lists this non-coding RNA (45 nucleotides) under Trichobilharzia regenti. Lineage: Eukaryota; Metazoa; Platyhelminthes; Trematoda; Strigeidida; Schistosomatidae. The record is from RNAcentral.
ACCCAGCUGACGAGUACCAAAUAGGACGAAAUGCGCAUCGUGGAU